AGAGGGUUACAAGAUGCGAUAUAGAUUUUUAUGGCGGACGUAAAUCUCGCGACGGAUGCAAGAAGCGACUAGGAAUCGUGAAAGGCGCGGCCAAUUCCCUAAUGAUUCUGAUUUAUCGCCUCUGGUUUGUUCCGGUAAGCCGUUAACUCCAUGACGCGUACCUGGUGUCCCGGAGGAUCUACGUACGACACACGAAUACAGGUAUAUCAUACACGUCUAUAAGAUCAGUUCCGCGGACAUAAAAUCCUUCGCUUUCUUACAUCGGCCUACUCAUUUGCUUGGAGUUACGCGAAAUAAAGUUAAUGGCCAGUUAAGAGCGAAUAUUAACGUACCGAGAUAAAGUAAAAGGUAUGACUUACGAUCGUUCAACAAAAUCCUUGAGAAAAUUGGAAUCUUUUGAGGUAAGGACUUAACAUCUUUAUGUCCUUUAAUUAGCAGCUUUUUCGAGCUAGACUCAAGUCUCAUGGUUGAUACCUAGAAAAUGUAAAAGUUACGAAAUUAGAAUAAUUUGACCUGGUUUCCUUAAAUAUCCGUUACGAAGAAUGAGUCGGCAAUGUAAAAUCGAGGACGUUUCGAGCGAACGGAUCCCACGGGAUCUCCACGAAGGAGAACCCUGUUGGUAUCAGGUAUCGGGACAAGAGCGACAAUGCGUCGGAGAUUUUAUCUUAAAGUUUAGGGCGUGAAUCUUUUAGUCGUGCCAACGAUAGUCCUCGAGAUAUUAGCAGAUACUCGAGAUACGUUUGAUCCUUUUAAUAUGAUCUCGUCCAACUGUCGUUAAAUGAAAAUAUUAAAUCUUUUCAACGUUGAAAAGACGUUUACGAGCUAUAAACUUAUCGAUAUCUUGAUAGUAUUCCUAAUCCAUGUUUUGCUAUUCAUUUGAUCACUUCUCUUAGAUUUCAUACUUCACGCAUAACGGAUUAUUUAUUGAAAUAGAUAAUUCAUCCUACGCGUCUAAGUAAACGCAUAAUGAGACGCUCAAAAGUGAUGCUUUAAAUAGUCGAAGAAAAGAAUGCCAAUCUCGAAAAGCUUUUGACGAUAGGAUUUCUUUGGAAUUUCUUGCAUUUGCUUUUGUUACAACGUAACGGUUGAUCAUUGUUCCAUUGAAUAUGCGAGAUAAUGAGUUGAGUCGCAUGACCUGCCAGGUGUGCAAACUGGAACGAUACUUUUCUCUAUUCUCUCGGAUAGAAAUCUCGAUUGAAUCGGAAUUCUCAGAAUAGACUUUAAAUGGGUAAUAUUGAAUGUUGAAAAGACGAACAAAUUCGACGUAAUGAUAAAAGAGGAGGAGGAAGGAUGGUACGACGAGAUCUUUUUUCUCACAACGAGAGGGAAAACGAGAACCCGGAGAACCUCGCAAUCUAGUUAUUGUAAGUCGAACGUACGAAAGGAAAACGAAGACAAGCCGAUUGUCCACUUUAAUUCGUCCGUGAAAAAUUGUCUAAUUGUCUAUUUUUCAGCGUGAAAUUCGCCAGUCUUAGGUCGCACUUAGAAAUUCAAAUUUAUCGAGAAACUGGGAAACCACGUGAAACCGGUCGCCAUUGUAAGUACGUAUGUCUUUCUUCGCAUUGCAACGAGGACGACGAGGACGACGAGGACGAGAGUAAAGUGAAUAAUGAAACUUAGGUGACAAUGUGGGUUCUUCGUUGACGAAGAGUAACGAAGCUGUGCCAACGAAAUUUCUCGAUGGAAUAAUGCGAAAUUUCACUCUUGGCUUUUACAUGUGUAUUUUACAUGGUACAUACGUAUGUAUAUCCAUUAUUGAAUCUGAAAGUCAAUGGCCUGGUGUAAAACACGUAACAAAGAAGAGCCUACAUAUUUAGAAUCGAAUCAAUACAAUCUUUUUUUUUUCACGAUAUUCUAGUGAUUAUUUUUUCAAGAAAUUAAAACGAUGAUUGGCCAACAUAAAUAUUGAUAAAUAAUCGAAUAUCGUGCACGAUAGAGAGAGAGAGAGAGAGAGAGAGAGAGAAGACGUUCCUCUUACAGAUAAAAUAUGUUUGUGCUUUUGUUUCUUGUAAAAUAAAAUAUGUACUUCUGGUAUAUCGUA
Vespula pensylvanica (western yellowjacket) is the source of this 2041-nucleotide long non-coding RNA. RefSeq lists it as uncharacterized. Lineage: Eukaryota; Metazoa; Arthropoda; Insecta; Hymenoptera; Vespidae. The record is from RefSeq and is a predicted model, not a curated record. The transcript is spliced from 2 exons.